RNAcentral lists this ribosomal RNA (407 nucleotides) under uncultured rumen bacterium. RNAcentral's name for it is "bacterial SSU rRNA". It matches the Rfam family "Bacterial small subunit ribosomal RNA", at positions 354 to 776 of the family's 1533-position model. The record is from RNAcentral.
GUGGGGAAUAUUGGGCAAUGGGCGAAAGCCUGACCCAGCAACGCCGCGUGAAGGAUGACGGUCUUCGGAUUGUAAACUUCUUUAAUUGGGGAAGAACAAAAUGACCUACCCAAAGAAUAAGUCACGGCUAACUACGUGCCAGCAGCCGCGGUAAUACGUAGGUGACAAGCGUUAUCCGGAUUUACUGGGCGUAAAGGGCGUGUAGGCGGUCUUGCAAGUCAGAAGUGAAAUUCCUGAGCUCAACUCGGGCGCUGCUUCUGAAACUGCAGGACUUGAGUGCUGGAGGGGAUAGCGGAAUUCCUAGUGGAGCGGUAAAAUGCGCAGAUAUUAGGAAGAACACCGGUGGCGAAGGCGGCUAUCUGGACAGUAACUGACGCUGAGGCGCGAAAGCGUGGGGAGCAAACAGG